RNAcentral lists this ribosomal RNA (253 nucleotides) under uncultured bacterium. Its description in RNAcentral is "partial 16S ribosomal RNA". It matches the Rfam family "Bacterial small subunit ribosomal RNA", at positions 524 to 776 of the family's 1533-position model. The record is from RNAcentral.
UACGUAGGGACCGAGCGUUGUCCGGAAUCAUUGGGCGUAAAGAGCGUGUAGGCGGCCAGGUAGGUCUGCUGUGAAAACUCGAGGCUUAACCUCGAGAUGUCGGCGGAAACCAUCUGGCUAGAGUCCGGAAGAGGAGAGUGGAAUUCCUGGUGUAGCGGUGAAAUGCGCAGAUAUCAGGAAGAACACCCGUGGCGAAGGCGGCUCUCUGGGACGGUACUGACGCUGAGACGCGAAAGCGUGGGGAGCGAACAGG